This 496-nucleotide ribosomal RNA is filed under the name uncultured bacterium. Its description in RNAcentral is "partial 16S ribosomal RNA". It matches the Rfam family "Bacterial small subunit ribosomal RNA", at positions 29 to 507 of the family's 1533-position model. The record is from RNAcentral.
AUGAACGCUGGCGGCGUGCCUAAUACCUGCAAGUCGAGCGAACAGAUGAGGAGCUUGCUCCUCUGACGUUAGCGGCGGACGGGUGAGUAACACGUGGAUAACCUACCUAUAAGACUGGGAUAACUUCGGGAAACCGGAGCUAAUACCGGAGAAUAUAUUGAACCGCAUGGUUCAAUAGUGAAAGACGGUUUUGCUGUCACUUAUAGAUGGAUCCGCGCCGCAUUAGCUAGUUGGUAAGGUAACGGCUUACCAAGGCAACGAUGCGUAGCCGACCUGAGAGGGUGAUCGGCCACACGGGAACUGAGACACGGUCCAGACUCCUCCGGGAGGCAGCAGUAGGGAAUCUUCCGCAAAGGGCGAAAGCCUGACGGAGCAACGCCGCGUGAGUGAUGAAGGUCUUCGGAUCGUAAAACUCUGUUAUUUGGGAAGAACAAAUGUGUAAGUAACUAUGCACGUCUUGACGGUACCUAAUCAGAAAGCCACGGCUAACUACGUG